Pogoniulus pusillus (Red-fronted tinkerbird) is the source of this 400-nucleotide long non-coding RNA. RefSeq lists it as uncharacterized. The transcript is spliced from 2 exons. The record is from RefSeq and is a predicted model, not a curated record. Lineage: Eukaryota; Metazoa; Chordata; Aves; Piciformes; Lybiidae.
GGAGCCGCCCGCCACCGCCCGCCUGCCGCCGCCGCCGCCCUCGCCCGGCGCUGUCAGGUGCCCCGCCGCCCGGCCCCGGAAUACGCCGGUUCCUAGCUGAGGAUGCCGCCCGCCGCCGGUCGCUCCAGUUCAUCUGUUGCUGCCUGACCGCGCCGCCAGCCCCGGUGCAGCCUCCGCCGAUGGAUGCGGCAACCCCCGCGCCCUGCCCGUCCGCAGCCGCCCCGCUGGCCAUCGUGCCGGGAACGACUCCGGAGCUCCGCGGCUGGUAAAAAAAAAAACAAAAACAAAACCAAAACAAACCAAAACCAAACCAACAACAACAAAAAAAAACAACAAAAGAAAAAACCUAACAAAAUACAAAACCAAAACCAAACCAAAAACCAGCCCCCUCCCGGUCUCA